Molecule: ribosomal RNA, 532 nt
Filed under: Bacillus sp. MN07-02
Lineage: Bacteria; Bacillati; Bacillota; Bacilli; Caryophanales; Bacillaceae
Description: bacterial SSU rRNA
Rfam family: Bacterial small subunit ribosomal RNA
Source: RNAcentral
CCUGACCGAGCACGCCGCGUGAGCGAGGAAGGCCUUCGGGUCGUAAAGCUCUGUUGUCAGGGAAGAACAAGUACGGUAGUAACUGCCCGUACCUUGACGGUACCUGACCAGAAAGCCACGGCUAACUACGUGCCAGCAGCCGCGGUAAUACGUAGGUGGCAAGCGUUAUCCGGAAUUAUUGGGCGUAAAGCGCGCGCAGGCGGUCUCUUAAGUCUGAUGUGAAAGCCCACGGCUCAACCGUGGAGGGUCAUUGGAAACUGGGAGACUUGAGUGCAGGAGAGAAAAGUGGAAUUCCACGUGUAGCGGUGAAAUGCGUAGAGAUGUGGAGGAACACCAGUGGCGAAGGCGGCUUUUUGGCCUGUAACUGACGCUGAGGCGCGAAAGCGUGGGGAGCAAACAGGAUUAGAUACCCUGGUAGUCCACGCCGUAAACGAUGAGUGCUAGGUGUUGGGGGGUUCCACCCUCAGUGCUGACGCUAACGCAUUAAGCACUCCGCCUGGGGAGUACGGCCGCAAGGCUGAAACUCAAGAAA